GAGGAGGAGAUAAGCUUCCAGUGCAAGACGCUGAAUGUUACAGGAACUCAAAUCGAAGCUGAGCCUGGGAACUGCAGUUCUUUUAGUGUGGUUUGGAUUCCACAGACCUGAGAUACAGAUGGAAGGGUCUGGGACCCUGGUACAAAGUGAAGACGGCGGCAUUGGAUAAGCCACCACAGAAGGGGAAGAACCUGACUACCUAUUUCAGGAAGGCAGCGGUUCUUCGUGGAUCACACUGAGGGAGCACGAGUUGUCGAAGCUCCUGGGGCACAUUCACACCUAUGUCUAG
Aquila chrysaetos chrysaetos is the source of this 289-nucleotide long non-coding RNA. RefSeq lists it as uncharacterized. The record is from RefSeq and is a predicted model, not a curated record. NCBI's taxonomy places the organism in Eukaryota, Metazoa, Chordata, Aves, Accipitriformes, Accipitridae. The transcript is spliced from 3 exons.